UAGGGAAUCUUCCGCAAUGGACGCAAGUCUGACGGAGCAACGCCGCGUGAGUGAAGAAGGAUUUCGGUUCGUAAAACUCUGUUGUUAGAGAAGAACAGCGCAUAGAGUAACUGUUAUGCGUGUGACGGUAUCUAACCAGAAAGCCACGGCUAACUACGUUCCAGCAGCCGCGGUAAUACGUAGGUGGCAAUCGUUGUCCGGAUUUAUUGGGCGUAAAGCGAGCGCAGGCGGUAAAUUAAGUCUGAUGUGAAAGCCCCCGGCUCAACCGGGGAGGGUCAUUGGAAACUGGUUGACUUGAGUGCAGAAGAGGAGAGUGGAAUUCCAUGUGUAGCGGUGAAAUGCGGAGGUAUAUGGAGGAAGACCAGUGGCGAAGGCGACUCUCAGGUAUGUAACUGAAGCAGAGGCUCGAAAGAGUGAGUAGCAAACAGG
RNAcentral lists this ribosomal RNA (429 nucleotides) under Bacteroidota bacterium. RNAcentral's name for it is "Bacteroidetes bacterium partial 16S ribosomal RNA". It matches the Rfam family "Bacterial small subunit ribosomal RNA", at positions 355 to 776 of the family's 1533-position model. Lineage: Bacteria; Pseudomonadati; Bacteroidota. The record is from RNAcentral.